RNAcentral lists this ribosomal RNA (301 nucleotides) under uncultured bacterium. RNAcentral's name for it is "partial 16S ribosomal RNA". It matches the Rfam family "Bacterial small subunit ribosomal RNA", at positions 509 to 807 of the family's 1533-position model. The record is from RNAcentral.
CAGCAGCCGCGAGAAUACAGAGGGUGCGAGCGUUAAUCGGAUUUACUGGGCGUAAAGCGUGCGUAGGCGGCUUUUUAAGUCGGAUGUGAAAUCCCUGAGCUUAACUUAGGAAUUGCAUUCGAUACUGGGAAGCUAGAGUAUGGGAGAGGAUGGUAGAAUUCCAGGUGUAGCGGUGAAAUGCGUAGAGAUCUGGAGGAAUACCGAUGGCGAAGGCAGCCAUCUGGCCUAAUACUGACGCUGAGGUACGAAAGCAUGGGGAGCAAACAGGAUUAGAUACCCGAGUAGUCCCUGUCUCUUAUAC